This 2897-nucleotide ribosomal RNA is filed under the name Shigella dysenteriae. Its description in RNAcentral is "bacterial LSU rRNA". It matches the Rfam family "Bacterial large subunit ribosomal RNA". Lineage: Bacteria; Pseudomonadati; Pseudomonadota; Gammaproteobacteria; Enterobacterales; Enterobacteriaceae. The record is from RNAcentral.
UUAAGCGACUAAGCGUACACGGUGGAUGCCCUGGCAGUCAGAGGCGAUGAAGGACGUGCUAAUCUGCGAUAAGCGUCGGUAAGGUGAUAUGAACCGUUAUAACCGGCGAUUUCCGAAUGGGGAAACCCAGUGUGAUUCGUCACACUAUCAUUAACUGAAUCCAUAGGUUAAUGAGGCGAACCGGGGAACUGAAACAUCUAAGUACCCCGAGGAAAAGAAAUCAACCGAGAUUCCCCCAGUAGCGGCGAGCGAACGGGGAGCAGCCCAGAGCCUGAAUCAGUGUGUGUGUUAGUGGAAGCGUCUGGAAAGGCGUGCGAUACAGGGUGACAGCCCCGUACACAAAAAUGCACAUAUUGUGAGCUCGAUGAGUAGGGCGGGACACGUGGUAUCCUGUCUGAAUAUGGGGGGACCAUCCUCCAAGGCUAAAUACUCCUGACUGACCGAUAGUGAACCAGUACCGUGAGGGAAAGGCGAAAAGAACCCCGGCGAGGGGAGUGAAAAAGAACCUGAAACCGUGUACGUACAAGCAGUGGGAGCACGCUUAGGCGUGUGACUGCGUACCUUUUGUAUAAUGGGUCAGCGACUUAUAUUCUGUAGCAAGGUUAACCGAAUAGGGGAGCCGAAGGGAAACCGAGUCUUAACUGGGCGUUAAGUUGCAGGGUAUAGACCCGAAACCCGGUGAUCUAGCCAUGGGCAGGUUGAAGGUUGGGUAACACUAACUGGAGGACCGAACCGACUAAUGUUGAAAAAUUAGCGGAUGACUUGUGGCUGGGGGUGAAAGGCCAAUCAAACCGGGAGAUAGCUGGUUCUCCCCGAAAGCUAUUUAGGUAGCGCCUCGUGAAUUCAUCUCCGGGGUAGAGCACUGUUUCGGCAAGGGGGUCAUCCCGACUUACCAACCCGAUGCAAACUGCGAAUACCGGAGAAUGUUAUCACGGGAGACACACGGCGGGUGCUAACGUCCGUCGUGAAGAGGGAAACAACCCAGACCGCCAGCUAAGGUCCCAAAGUCAUGGUUAAGUGGGAAACGAUGUGGGAAGGCCCAGACAGCCAGGAUGUUGGCUUAGAAGCAGCCAUCAUUUAAAGAAAGCGUAAUAGCUCACUGGUCGAGUCGGCCUGCGCGGAAGAUGUAACGGGGCUAAACCAUGCACCGAAGCUGCGGCAGCGACACUAUGUGUUGUUGGGUAGGGGAGCGUUCUGUAAGCCUGUGAAGGUGUACUGUGAGGUAUGCUGGAGGUAUCAGAAGUGCGAAUGCUGACAUAAGUAACGAUAAAGCGGGUGAAAAGCCCGCUCGCCGGAAGACCAAGGGUUCCUGUCCAACGUUAAUCAGGGCAGGGUGAGUCGACUCCUAAGGCGAGGCCGAAAGGCGUAGUCGAUGGGAAACAGGUUAAUAUUCCUGUACUUGGUGUUACUGCGAAGGGGGACGGAGAAGGCUAUGUUGGCCGGGCGACGGUUGUCCCGGUUUAAGCGUGUAGGCUGGUUUUCCAGGCAAAUCCGGAAAACUAAGGCUGAGGCGUGAUGACGAGGCACUACGGUGCUGAAGCAACAAAUGCCCUGCUUCCAGGAAAAGCCUCUAAGCAUCAGGUAACAUCAAAUCGUACCCCAAACCGACACAGGUGGUCAGGUAGAGAAUACCAAGGCGCUUGAGAGAACUCGGGUGAAGGAACUAGGCAAAAUGGUGCCGUAACUUCGGGAGAAGGCACGCUGAUAUGUAGGUGAAGUCCCUCGCGGAUGGAGCUGAAAUCAGUCGAAGAUACCAGCUGGCUGCAACUGUUUAUUAAAAACACAGCACUGUGCAAACACGAAAGUGGACGUAUACGGUGUGACGCCUGCCCGGUGCCGGAAGGUUAAUUGAUGGGGUCAGCGCAAGCGAAGCUCUUGAUCGAAGCCCCGGUAAACGGCGGCCGUAACUAUAACGGUCCUAAGGUAGCGAAAUUCCUUGUCGGGUAAGUUCCGACCUGCACGAAUGGCGUAAUGAUGGCCAGGCUGUCUCCACCCGAGACUCAGUGAAAUUGAACUCGCUGUGAAGAUGCAGUGUACCCGCGGCAAGACGGAAAGACCCCGUGAACCUUUACUAUAGCUUGACACUGAACAUUGAGCCUUGAUGUGUAGGAUAGGUGGGAGGCUUUGAAGUGUGGACGCCAGUCUGCAUGGAGCCGACCUUGAAAUACCACCCUUUAAUGUUUGAUGUUCUAACGUUGACCCGUAAUCCGGGUUGCGGACAGUGUCUGGUGGGUAGUUUGACUGGGGCGGUCUCCUCCUAAAGAGUAACGGAGGAGCACGAAGGUUGGCUAAUCCUGGUCGGACAUCAGGAGGUUAGUGCAAUGGCAUAAGCCAGCUUGACUGCGAGCGUGACGGCGCGAGCAGGUGCGAAAGCAGGUCAUAGUGAUCCGGUGGUUCUGAAUGGAAGGGCCAUCGCUCAACGGAUAAAAGGUACUCCGGGAUAACAGGCUGAUACCGCCCAAGAGUUCAUAUCGACGGCGGUGUUUGGCACCUCGAUGUCGGCUCAUCACAUCCUGGGGCUGAAGUAGGUCCCAAGGGUAUGGCUGUUCGCCAUUUAAAGUGGUACGCGAGCUGGGUUUAGAACGUCGUGAGACAGUUCGGUCCCUAUCUGCCGUGGGCGCUGGAGAACUGAGGGGGGCUGCUCCUAGUACGAGAGGACCGGAGUGGACGCAUCACUGGUGUUCGGGUUGUCAUGCCAAUGGCACUGCCCGGUAGCUAAAUGCGGAAGAGAUAAGUGCUGAAAGCAUCUAAGCACGAAACUUGCCCCGAGAUGAGUUCUCCCUGACUCCUUGAGAGUCCUGAAGGAACGUUGAAGACGACGACGUUGAUAGGCCGGGUGUGUAAGCGCAGCGAUGCGUUGAGCUAACCGGUACUAAUGAACCGUGAGGCUUAACCUU